This 1458-nucleotide ribosomal RNA is filed under the name Aphanothece minutissima 2LT34S03. RNAcentral's name for it is "bacterial SSU rRNA". It matches the Rfam family "Bacterial small subunit ribosomal RNA". The record is from RNAcentral. Lineage: Bacteria; Bacillati; Cyanobacteriota; Cyanophyceae; Chroococcales; Aphanothecaceae.
GAUGAACGCUGGCGGCGUGCUUAACACAUGCAAGUCGAACGAGCCUUCGGGCUAGUGGCGGACGGGUGAGUAACGCGUGGGAAUCUGCCCUCAGGAGGGGGAUAACGGCCGGAAACGGCCGCUAAUACCCCAUAUGCCGAGAGGUGAAAUGAAUUUCGCCUGAGGAUGAGCCCGCGUCUGAUUAGCUAGUUGGUGUGGUAAUGGCGCACCAAGGCGACGAUCAGUAGCUGGUCUGAGAGGAUGAUCAGCCACACUGGGACUGAGACACGGCCCAGACUCCUACGGGAGGCAGCAGUGGGGAAUUUUCCGCAAUGGGCGAAAGCCUGACGGAGCAACGCCGCGUGAGGGAUGAAGGCCUCUGGGCUGUAAACCUCUUUUCUCAAGGAAGAAGACAUGACGGUACUUGAGGAAUAAGCCACGGCUAAUUCCGUGCCAGCAGCCGCGGUAAUACGGGAGUGGCAAGCGUUAUCCGGAAUUAUUGGGCGUAAAGCGUCCGCAGGCGGCUUUGUAAGUCUGUCGUUAAAGCGUGGAGCUUAACUCCAUUUGAGCGAUGGAAACUACAAGGCUUGAGUGUGGUAGGGGCAGAGGGAAUUCCCGGUGUAGCGGUGAAAUGCGUAGAUAUCGGGAAGAACACCAGUGGCGAAGGCGCUCUGCUGGGCCAUAACUGACGCUCAUGGACGAAAGCCAGGGGAGCGAAAGGGAUUAGAUACCCCUGUAGUCCUGGCCGUAAACGAUGAACACUAGGUGUCGGGGGAAUCGACCCCCUCGGUGUCGUAGCUAACGCGUUAAGUGUUCCGCCUGGGGAGUACGCACGCAAGUGUGAAACUCAAAGGAAUUGACGGGGGCCCGCACAAGCGGUGGAGUAUGUGGUUUAAUUCGAUGCAACGCGAAGAACCUUACCAGGGUUUGACAUCCUGCGAAUCCCUUGGAAACGAGGGAGUGCCUUCGGGAGCGCAGAGACAGGUGGUGCAUGGCUGUCGUCAGCUCGUGUCGUGAGAUGUUGGGUUAAGUCCCGCAACGAGCGCAACCCACGUCUUUAGUUGCCAGCAUUCAGUUGGGCACUCUAGAGAGACCGCCGGUGAUAAACCGGAGGAAGGUGUGGAUGACGUCAAGUCAUCAUGCCCCUUACAUCCUGGGCUACACACGUACUACAAUGCUACGGACAAAGGGUUGCAAGCUCGCGAGAGUUAGCUAAUCCCAUAAACCGUGGCUCAGUUCAGAUCGUAGGCUGCAACUCGCCUACGUGAAGGAGGAAUCGCUAGUAAUCGCAGGUCAGCAUACUGCGGUGAAUACGUUCCCGGGCCUUGUACACACCGCCCGUCACACCAUGGAAGUUGGCCAUGCCCGAAGUCGUUACUCCAACCCUUGUGGAGGAGGACGCCGAAGGUGGGGCUGAUGACUGGGGUGAAGUCGUAACAAGGUAGCCGUACCGGAAGGUGCGGCUGGAUCACCUCCUAA